GAUGAACGCUGGCGGCGUGCUUAACACAUGCAAGUCGAACGAUGAAGCCCAGCUUGCUGGGUGGAUUAGUGGCGAACGGGUGAGUAACACGUGAGUAACCUGCCCUUAACUCUGUGAUAAGCCUGGGAAACUGGGUCUAAUACCGGAUAGGAGCGUCCACCGCACGGUGGGUGUUGGAGAGAUUUAUCGGUGUUGGAUGUACUCGCGGCCUAUCAGCUUGUUGGUGAGGUAAUGGCUCACCAAGGCGACGACGGGUAGCCGGCCUGAGAGGGUGAGCGGCCACACUGGGACUGAGACACGGCCCAGACUCCUACGGGAGGCAGCAGUGGGGAAUAUUGCACAAUGGGCGCAAGACUGAUGCAGCGACGCCGCGUGAGGGAUGACGGCCUUCGGGUUGUAAACCUCUUUCAGUAGGGAAGAAGCGAGAGUGACGGUACCUGCAGAAGAAGCACCGGCUAACUACGUG
RNAcentral lists this ribosomal RNA (466 nucleotides) under uncultured bacterium. Its description in RNAcentral is "partial 16S ribosomal RNA". It matches the Rfam family "Bacterial small subunit ribosomal RNA", at positions 28 to 507 of the family's 1533-position model. The record is from RNAcentral.